UUUUCCUACGGGGGGCAGCAGUGAGGAAUAUUGGUCAAUGGGCGGAAGCCUGAACCAGCCAAGUCGCGUGAGGGAAUAAGGCCCUACGGGUCGUAAACCUCUUUUGCCGGGGAGCAAGGGCGGGGACGUGUCCCGGCCCGGAGAGUACCCGGAGAAAAAGCAUCGGCUAACUCCGUGCCAGCAGCCGCGGUAAUACGGAGGAUGCGAGCGUUAUCCGGAUUUAUUGGGUUUAAAGGGUGCGUAGGCGGACGCUUAAGUCAGCGGUAAAAUUGCGGGGCUCAACCUC
Molecule: ribosomal RNA, 286 nt
Filed under: uncultured bacterium
Lineage: Bacteria
Description: partial 16S ribosomal RNA
Rfam family: Bacterial small subunit ribosomal RNA
Source: RNAcentral